GAUGAACGCUAGCGGGAGGCUUAAUACAUGCAAGUCGAACGGUAAGGCCCCUUCGGGGGUACACGAGUGGCGAACGGGUGAGUAACGCGUACGCAAUCUACCUAUAACUGAGGAAUAGCCCUGGGAAACUGGGAUUAAUACCUUAUAAUAUUCUAAUUAGGCAUCUUUUUGGAAUUAAAACUCCGGUGGUUAUAGAUGAGCGUGCGUCCCAUUAGCUUGUUGGUAAGGUAACGGCUUACCAAGGCAACGAUGGGUAGCUGGCGUGAGAGCGCGAUCAGCCACACGGGCACUGAGACACGGCCCG
RNAcentral lists this ribosomal RNA (304 nucleotides) under uncultured bacterium. RNAcentral describes it as "bacterial SSU rRNA". It matches the Rfam family "Bacterial small subunit ribosomal RNA", at positions 28 to 334 of the family's 1533-position model. The record is from RNAcentral.